AGGAUUAACGCUGGCGGCGUGCCUAACACAUGCAAGUCGAACGAGGUAGCAAUACCUAGUGGCAGACGGGUGAGUAACGCGUGGUCAACCUACCGUUGAGUGGGGGAUAACUAGCCGAAAGGUUAGCUAAUACCGCAUACGAGUCUCGGGGGCAUCCCUGGGCCUUAAAAGGAGCAAUCCGCUCGAUGACGGGACCGCGUCCCAUUAGCUAGAUGGUGGGGUAAUGGCCUACCAUGGCUCCGAUGGGUAGCUGGUUUGAGAGAGCGACCAGCCACACUGGGACUGAGAAACGGCCCAGACUCCUACGGGAGGCAGCAGUGAGGAAUUUUCCGCAAUGGGCGAAAGCCUGACGGAGCGACGCCGCGUGUGGGAAGAGGCCUUCGGGUCGUAAACCACUGUCGAAGGGGACGAUAAUGACGGUACCUUGGAGGAAGCCCGGCUAACUACGCGCCAGCAGCCGC
This 461-nucleotide ribosomal RNA is filed under the name uncultured bacterium. RNAcentral describes it as "SSU rRNA". It matches the Rfam family "Bacterial small subunit ribosomal RNA", at positions 26 to 518 of the family's 1533-position model. The record is from RNAcentral.